Long non-coding RNA from Cercocebus atys (sooty mangabey), 429 nucleotides. RefSeq lists it as uncharacterized. The record is from RefSeq and is a predicted model, not a curated record. The transcript has 3 exons. NCBI's taxonomy places the organism in Eukaryota, Metazoa, Chordata, Mammalia, Primates, Cercopithecidae.
CUCACUAUUGCAAAAGAUAGCACCAAGGGGAUGGUGCUAAACCAUUAGUGAGAAAUCCACCCUUAUGAUCCAGUCACUUCUCAUCAGGCCACACCUCCAACAUUGAGGAUUACAAUUUAAUAUGAGAUUUGGUGGGGACACAGAUCUACACCAUAUCACCAUUUCUUCAAUUAAAAAGAAAUAAUAAUCGAGAAGUCUUUGUUAUUGGAAUUUAUGAUAGGUACUGCAAUAAUAAAACAUGAAAUUUCAGUUUAUACGUUAUCUUUUGUGGAAAGAGAGGAAAUGAAGAAUCUGUGUUCACAAGAUGUACAAAACUAUUGAAAUCUAAAUACUCAUGGAAUUACUCAUGCAGACCAAGACAAAAGUGAGGAUGUGAUUUGGAAUAAAACGUGAUCUCCUAGGAAUCCAGACUCACACAAUGGCUGGGCC